AACUACAGCCAUAUCACCCUGCAGCCCAAGACUGGUUGCCCACUGAAGCUAAGCAGGGUUGAGCUUGGUCAGUACCUGGAUGGGAGACCUCCUGGGAAAACUAGGUUGCUGUUGGCA
This 117-nucleotide ribosomal RNA is filed under the name Sinocyclocheilus grahami. The record is from RNAcentral. Lineage: Eukaryota; Metazoa; Chordata; Actinopteri; Cypriniformes; Cyprinidae.